CCCCGCCGCAGCCACUUCCGGCAGGCGCUGCGCUGCUGGGGGGCGCGGGCGAGGAUGGCGGCGGAGAACGAGGCCAGCCAGGAGAGCGCCCUGGGCGCCUACUCGCCAGUGGACUACAUGAGCAUCACCAGCUUCCCGCGGCUGCCCGAGGACGAGCCCGCGCCCGCGGCCCCGCUGAGGGGCCGCAAGGACGAGGACGCCUUUCUGGGAGACCCCGACACCGACCCGGACUCCUUCCUGAAGUCUGCACGGCUGCAGCGGCUGCCAUCGUCGUCGUCGGAGAUGGGCAGCCAAGACGGGUCGCCGCUACGCGAGACACGCAAAGACCCGUUCUCCGCCGCAGCGGCGGAGUGCUCCUGCCGCCAGGAUGGGCUCACGGUCAUCGUCACGGCCUGUCUCACCUUCGCUACCGGUGUCACCGUGGCGCUGGUCAUGCAGAUCUACUUCGGGGACCCCCAGAUCUUCCAGCAGGGUGCCGUGGUGACCGAUGCUGCCCGCUGCACUUCACUGGGCAUCGAGGUGCUCAGUAAACAGGGAUCUUCUGUGGACGCAGCGGUGGCAGCAGCCUUGUGUUUGGGUAUCGUGGCUCCACACAGUUCUGGCCUGGGCGGUGGGGGCGUGAUGCUGGUACAUGACAUCCGACGAAAUGAGAGCCACCUAAUUGAUUUCCGGGAGUCCGCACCAGGGGCCCUCAGGGAAGAGACCCUGCAAAGAUCCUGGGAGACCAAGCCUGGGCUCUUGGUGGGGGUUCCCGGAAUGGUGAAGGGGCUACAUGAAGCUCACCAGCUCUAUGGCAGGCUGCCAUGGUCCCAAGUCCUGGCCUUCGCAGCAGCUGUGGCCCAAGAUGGCUUCAACGUGACUCAUGAUCUAGCCCGUGCCCUGGCUGAACAGCUGCCACCCAACAUGUCCGAGCGCUUCCGGGAGACGUUCCUGCCAUCGGGCCGCCCGCCACUACCUGGCUCAUUGCUGCAUCGGCCCGACCUGGCUGAGGUGCUGGAUGUACUUGGCACCUCCGGCCCGGCUGCCUUCUACGCAGGUGGCAACCUCACACUGGAGAUGGUGGCCGAGGCUCAGCACGCAGGGGGUGUCAUAACCGAAGAGGACUUCAGCAAUUACAGCGCCCUUGUGGAGAAGCCUGUGUGUGGCGUGUACAGAGGCCACCUGGUUCUUAGUCCCCCGCCUCCGCACACGGGCCCUGCCCUCAUCAGUGCUCUCAACAUCCUGGAGGGCUUCAAUCUCACCAGCCUGGUAUCCCGAGAACAGGCUCUUCACUGGGUGGCAGAGACCCUGAAGAUUGCAUUAGCCCUGGCCAGCAGACUGGGAGAUCCCGUCUAUGAUUCUACCAUCACUGAGAGCAUGGAUGACAUGCUCAGCAAGGUGGAGGCCGCCUACCUCCGGGGCCAUAUCAAUGACUCCCAGGCAGCCCCUGCCCCACUCCUGCCUGUCUAUGAACUAGACGGAGCUCCCACGGCUGCCCAGGUGCUGAUCAUGGGACCUGAUGACUUCAUUGUGGCCAUGGUUAGCUCCCUGAACCAGCCCUUUGGCAGCGGCCUUAUCACCCCCUCGGGGAUCCUGCUUAACAGCCAGAUGCUGGACUUCUCCUGGCCCAACCGGACAGCUAACCACUCUGCACCCAGCCUGAAUCUUCUAGUAUAAGGAAGCCUAAAGAAGAUGUUCACCUCAUCCCUAGCCCUGCUAAGUCUGGGACAUGGAGCCUGCUGGGUCUGAAGAACCCUUGUCCCAUUCUGUCACUGUCUUACUGUGUGACCUUGUGAAGAUCUUGCCCUCUCUGGGCAAUUUCUUCACCUGUACAAUGAGGGUUUUGGCUCCUAUUUGAUGUUUUGGGCAUUUUCCAGCACUAGCGGUCUGUGACUAUGUGAGCUUGAGCUGAUGGGGCUCAGCCCUAUGGUUGGGCACCAAAGAGGGACCCAAGGAGGAAGGAUUUAAUAAUUUUUAUCUAGUUAAAAAUCAGCACUCUUACACCCCGCCAUCUGGGGCCCCAGCAGGGCAAAGACACGUAGAGAUGAUCAGGGUGGGGUUAUCCUGUUCUUCCCCAUUGCCAUCUUUCUUGGCUUGGUCCUUUCUCCUGUGACCCGUAGCAGCCUCAUAGCUCAGUGGAUGUACUUAUCACUCCCCCAUCCACCCCACCCAUCCAGGCACCCUACCCAUUUCACAGAUAGCAAACUGUUGUCUGGGAAGGGACCAGUCUCCCAGGAAAACUGGGCCUGUGGAAGAUGUAGAAGAGGGAGAGCAGUUGGAAGGGUUGUGGAGGGGCCCUUUCCCGGUCUUGUCCCACCCCACCUGCCCCUUGUGGUCUCUGUCCUCUAACAACAGGAGAAUUCAGUGCAGCCAGGGAAGCGGCCACUCUCUUUCCUGCUGCCCACAGUGGUCCGACCUGCGGAGGGGCUCUGUGGAACCUACCUCGCUCUGGGGGCCAAUGGAGCUGCGCGGGGCCUCAGCGGCCUGACACAGGUUCUGCUGAAUGUCCUGACCUUGAACCGGAACCUGAGUGACAGCCUGGCCCGCGGCCGCCUACACCCGGACCUGCAGUCCAACCUCCUGCAGGUGGACAGUGAGUUCACAGAGGAAGAGAUUGAGUUCCUGGAAGCCAGGGGUCACCACGUGGAGAAAGUAGAUGUCUUAUCCUGGGUCCAUGGCAGCCGAAGGACCAACAACUUCAUCAUCGCUGUUAAGGACCCUCGGAGCCCAGAUGCAGCUGGAGCCACCAUCCUGUAGAGCAGCGGGGUGGGGCGGGGUCUCUGCUCCCCCACUUUGCAUGUUCCCAGAGUCCCUCCUUCUCCCAGGUUUGGUCUCAGGGGGACCCCAGGGAUGCCCCAGAUCAGGGGCCAGAGGGGAUGCUUAGCAAACCCAAUCCCAGAGUAACUGGAAAAUUCUCCAUCAGGAGGCCUGUGGUGGUGGUGGUGGUGGUGGUGGUGGUGGUGGUGGUGAGUGUCAGCAUCUACAGCCAGGCAGGCAGGACCUUGAGGAAUCAGACUAUCUGUCUGUGUGUCACCUCUCCUCCUUCAGCCAUGCUGGCCCCGAGCUUAGGGAUGUGCUUGCAAACCCUUCUCAAGGGUCUCACAACCCCAACAUCUUCAGACUGGCCUGACCUGGGCCUUGUCUUCCAGUUCCUUUCUCCCAUUCCCAGCCUCAUUUCUUAAAUGACUAGGAAUUUUUUAAUGGACCAUCAUAGGGAGGGGGUGCUCCUCUUUUCCCACCAGGUUGAGGUGGGGGCCUUGCAUCGGGGGUCCCCAGGGUAUGGGGUAGGGGUGGGGGUGGGGACCAGCUCAGGGGCUUCCAUUUGCAAAGGGGAAUUAAAGAAAGAAUGUUGCUUAA
Molecule: RNA transcript, 3336 nt
Organism: Pan troglodytes (chimpanzee)
Lineage: Eukaryota; Metazoa; Chordata; Mammalia; Primates; Hominidae
Gene: GGT7
Gene name: gamma-glutamyltransferase 7
Exons: 15
Source: RefSeq, a predicted model, not a curated record